Non-coding RNA from Cajanus cajan (pigeon pea), 1811 nucleotides. The record is from RefSeq and is a predicted model, not a curated record. NCBI's taxonomy places the organism in Eukaryota, Viridiplantae, Streptophyta, Magnoliopsida, Fabales, Fabaceae.
UAAAGUUGUUAAAAAAGAAUAAAAUGCUAGAAUAUAUAAUUAGAAGGUUAUCCAUUCUGAAGUUGUGGUUGAUCCUGAAGAAUUUGUGUGGUAUCCUAAAGCCAAUAUACUUAUAAAUUUUUAACAUGAUAUAAGAAUAUACAUAGAAGAAAUAUAAAUAGAUGUUUUAUUUCUCCAAAAUUGUAGAAAAUUUCAUUGGAAUGAAGAUAUAUAUCACUAAAAAAAUAGACAUUACUUUCUUGAUAUAUCAUUAUUUAAAAUAAAUAAUUCCAAUUUAAAUCAUCAAUGAAGUAUUUGCGUGAAAGAAUUAAGCUACAAUGAUUUUCAAAGUAAAUAUUACAAAAUGAACAUUUAAAUGCUCCUCUAUAAUUGCUUUUAAAUUAUAUGGAUAUUAUUAAAGAAAAUCAAUAUUUCUUGUUCACUCACAUACCAAAAGAAAAUUGAAAACAGAAGUAGUAUCACAAAAAAUUAUCAGCACCUGGUUCUCUUCUUUGCGCACCCCUGCUCUUGUCACUCUAGUAGAAGUUGAAAAGACAAGAGAGAGAAACUUGAGUGGAAAUGAACGUUCAUUAUACAUGUUUUCACCACUCAAAACACCCACGCGGAUUUAUCACACCCUAGUUUCACAUGAAAUCCUAUAUAUAUAUAGGUGAUUUCCCCGUCCAAAUUUGAAAAAAAAAAAUUCAAAUUCAAAUUUGAAGUCUCUUCAAUUAACUACAUAUGUAGGGCAUCACCAUUUAUUGCUGGUGCACAUGGUGCGGAGAAAUUCUUCAUCCCAAUGAUUUCCAUUAUAGUGCAGCAAAAUGGGAAACGUACAUCUGUGACGAUCUCCUUUGCUUUCACUUAGUGCGUGUUUGCUUUAGAUUUAGAAACAUGAUUUUUCACUCUCUCUCCACGUUUACAAGCCAAUUUACGUAGAAGUUACAAUUUUUUGCUUCUCGCAAACGUGAAUUUUCACGUCCAAAAGCUAAAACAAACACGCACUUAGGCAGUUUUGUUUUGGUUUACAAAAUGGCUCUGUAACCUGCUAAUCUAAAACUCCACAUUCCCAUUUUGCAUGCAAAUGGAAAUGUAUUCGGCGAGAAAGAAAAGACAAAAUGAAAGCACCACUUUUUAGCUGUUAAAACUCGAAGGCCAUGCUUGAAAACCCUGAUACAUAGGCUUGCAGAAGCACAAAGGCCAGUGUUGUGGACCCAUGCAUCCGUGCGUUGGUUUUAUUAUUACGUGCAUCGGAAAGCCCUUUAUCAAGGCUUUCACUUUUUGUCAUAUUUUUAAACUCGGACCGGUUGUUCACUCGAUCAAAGUACUGGUGUUUGGCAGACAACCUUGUGAUCGAGGUGUGGGUUUGAUCUCCUAUGGUUCCUGAGGGCCUAAUCCUUUAGAAUGGGUUUGUGGCUCCUAUCGUUUACUAAGUUGUUUUCUCAGUAGAUAUUAAGGCUCCAUGCUUCGCCUCAUCAGUAGACAACAUUCCAAAGAAGGCAAAGCAAAUUCAAGAGAUUAAAGACUGAUAAAAUACCUGCAAAGUAAUGUCUCUGGUUUACUUAUAGAAGUAGCUGAAUGAUUUUUAAAGUAAUUUUUCUAUUUUAAUCUUUAAUAUGUAGAAGAAAAAAAAAGUUUGUAUGCUAACAACUAAAUAACUCACCUAAAUUUGUGAUGUGUUUUCAUCAUGUAGGAACAAGCUUAUAAAAGAGAGAGAGAGAGAGAAGCUUGACAAUUCUCUUAAAAAAUGAGAGUGAAAUGUAAUUAUUGUUAUUAUAUAGAAUUAAGAGAAUGAGAGUGAAAUGUAAUUAUUGCUAUUAUAUAGAAUGUCU